Molecule: ribosomal RNA, 301 nt
Filed under: uncultured bacterium
Lineage: Bacteria
Description: partial 16S ribosomal RNA
Rfam family: Bacterial small subunit ribosomal RNA
Source: RNAcentral
CAGUAGCCGCGGUAAUACGUAGGGUGCAAGCGUUAAUCGGAAUUACUGGGCGUAAAGCGUGCGCAGGCGGUUAUAUAAGUCAGAUGUGAAAUCCCCGGGCUCAACCUGGGAACUGCAUUUGAGGCUGUAUGGCUAGAGUGUGUCAGAGGGGGGUAGAAUUCCACGUGUAGCAGUGAAAUGCGUAGAUAUGUGGAGGAAUACCGAUGGCGAAGGCAGCCCCCUGGGACAACACUGACGCUGAGGCACGAAAGCGUGGGGAGCAAACAGGAUUAGAUACCCCAUAGUCCCUGUCUCUUAUACC